This 484-nucleotide ribosomal RNA is filed under the name uncultured bacterium. RNAcentral's name for it is "partial 16S ribosomal RNA". It matches the Rfam family "Bacterial small subunit ribosomal RNA", at positions 30 to 507 of the family's 1533-position model. The record is from RNAcentral.
AUUGAACGCUGGCGGCAGGCCUAACACAUGCAAGUCGAGCGGAUGAAGGGAGCUUGCUCCUGGAUUCAGCGGCGGACGGGUGAGUAAUGCCUAGGAAUCUGCCUGGUAGUGGGGGAUAACGUCCGGAAACGGGCGCUAAUACCGCAUACGUCCUGAGGGAGAAAGUGGGGGAUCUUCGGACCUCACGCUAUCAUAUGAGCCUAGGUCGGAUUAGCUAGUUGGUGGGGUAAAGGCCUACCAAGGCGACGAUCCGUAACUGGUCUGAGAGGAUGAUCAGUCACACUGGAACUGAGACACGGUCCAGACUCCUACGGGAGGCAGCAGUGGGGAAUAUUGGACAAUGGGCGAAAGCCUGAUCCAGCCAUGCCGCGUGUGUGAAGAAGGUCUUCGGAUUGUAAAGCACUUUAAGUUGGGAGGAAGGGCAGUAAGUUAAUACCUUGCUGUUUUGGCGCUACCAACAGAAUAAGCACCGGCUAACUUCGUG